GACAGAGGGUGCAAACGUUGCUCGGAAUCACUGGGCGUAAAGGGCGUGUAGGCGGGAAGGAAAGUCAGAUGUGAAAUCCCUGGGCUCAACCCAGGAACUGCAUUUGAAACUCCCUUUCUUGAGUGUCGGAGAGGAAAGUGGAAUUCCUGGUGUAGCGGUGAAAUGCGCAGAUAUCAGGAAGAACACCAAUGGCGAAAGCAGCUUUCUGGGACGGUACUGACGCUGAGACGCGAAAGCGUGGGGAGCGAACAGG
This 253-nucleotide ribosomal RNA is filed under the name uncultured bacterium. RNAcentral describes it as "partial 16S ribosomal RNA". It matches the Rfam family "Bacterial small subunit ribosomal RNA", at positions 524 to 776 of the family's 1533-position model. The record is from RNAcentral.